This 492-nucleotide ribosomal RNA is filed under the name uncultured bacterium. RNAcentral describes it as "partial 16S ribosomal RNA". It matches the Rfam family "Bacterial small subunit ribosomal RNA", at positions 29 to 507 of the family's 1533-position model. The record is from RNAcentral.
AGUGAACGCUGGCGGUAGGCCUAACACAUGCAAGUCGAACGGCAGCACAGUAAGAGCUUGCUCUUACGGGUGGCGAGUGGCGGACGGGUGAGGAAUACAUCGGAAUCUACUUUUUCGUGGGGGAUAACGUAGGGAAACUUACGCUAAUACCGCAUACGACCUACGGGUGAAAGCAGGGGAUCUUCGGACCUUGCGCGAUUGAAUGAGCCGAUGUCGGAUUAGCUAGUUGGCGGGGUAAAGGCCCACCAAGGCGACGAUCCGUAGCUGGUCUGAGAGGAUGAUCAGCCACACUGGAACUGAGACACGGUCCAGACUCCUACGGGAGGCAGCAGUGGGGAAUAUUGGACAAUGGGCGCAAGCCUGAUCCAGCCAUACCGCGUGGGUGAAGAAGGCCUACGGGUUGUAAAGUCCUUUUGUUGGGAAAGAAAAGCAGCAGGUUAAUACCCCGCCGUUCUGACGGUACCCAAAGAAUAAGCACCGGCUAACUUCGUG